This is a non-coding RNA of Ricinus communis (castor bean), 107 nucleotides long. The record is from Rfam. Lineage: Eukaryota; Viridiplantae; Streptophyta; Magnoliopsida; Malpighiales; Euphorbiaceae.
AGUCCAUGGUGUGUGUAGCAUCACAAUAGGUCCUUGUAGCUCUCCCAAGUGUCGUACAUUGACUCAUUGUCAAACUGCAAAAAAGAAGAUAUGUCAUUUCUAAGUUU